Molecule: ribosomal RNA, 18 nt
Filed under: Distichophyllum brevicuspis
Lineage: Eukaryota; Viridiplantae; Streptophyta; Bryopsida; Hookeriales; Daltoniaceae
Description: partial 26S ribosomal RNA
Source: RNAcentral
CAGACCUCUAGUCGAAAA